GAUCGAGCAAGUUGGCACAGCCCCUGCAAUAACCGUUUCAACAAUCUACAAAAGCGCGUCCCUCAACGAAGAGGCUCGCACUUCCCGAUCGAACGGGACUUGGACAAAGGCGUCCUCGCUGGGUAACCGGCGGGACGCC
This 139-nucleotide small RNA is filed under the name Pseudomonas nitroreducens. RNAcentral describes it as "Pseudomonas sRNA P11". It matches the Rfam family "Pseudomonas sRNA P11". Rfam says of the family: P11 is located between a putative threonine protein kinase and putative nitrate reductase and appears to be conserved in several Pseudomonas species. P11 has a predicted Rho independent terminator at the 3'end but the function of P11 is unknown. Lineage: Bacteria; Pseudomonadati; Pseudomonadota; Gammaproteobacteria; Pseudomonadales; Pseudomonadaceae. The record is from RNAcentral.